Myotis lucifugus (little brown bat) is the source of this 73-nucleotide non-coding RNA. Lineage: Eukaryota; Metazoa; Chordata; Mammalia; Chiroptera; Vespertilionidae. The record is from Rfam.
GCUGGUUUGGCUCAGUGGAUAGAGCGUUGGGCUGCGGACUGAAGGGUCCCUGGUUCGAUUCCAGUUAAGGGCA